CCCACCAAGCCCCACCCCCUUGGGUGGCUGCCUCGGAGCCUGGAGUGGAAGGAGAGGGCGGGAGUGUGACUGGUGGAGUCCUUUCCCGCCCCCGCCCCACGCCGGCCUUCAGCUCCCGUCGUCCGACGCCAGGCGUGGGGGGACUUCGUCGUCUUAAGCCAUGUCCUCGCCGUGGGGGCGUCGCCUUGGCUUGUUCCCUUGUCCCACCUCCGAGCUUGCUCGAAGGCCGCGCCCACCGCGCGGGGGCGGGAGGGACCCAAUCUGCGUUUUUCUUGUAGGCCCCCAAAUGACAGUCCUGGGCGGGAGGCGCGGCCCUGGGCCGUCCCCUUAGUCUUUGACUCCUGCUUGUUGGCGGAGAGAGGCGUAGGCCGAGCUUGGCCCCGACUCCCCUCCCUCUGCUCCUCCCCUCCCCCUCCCCAGGGGUGAGCAUGUGUCGGAAUCGGUCCCGCCCCCUUUCCCCGAAUAGCUUGGGAGCUGGUAAACUCAGUAACCCAUCAGGCCCCACGCUUUCCCAGAAUUUCAGCAAGUUUACUGUUCUCCAGUAGAUGGUAGAAUUGCCCUUUCGACCCUUGUCACUUCGUGGGGCGUGUGCCACUUUUAGAGGGGAGUGGCUUUGUCAAAACUAAUGGGAGCCUGAAUAGAAGAGAUUGGAAAUGAAAGCUUGGUCUUUAGCUGUGCUGCUGACAAUUUUAAGUGAGGAACUGGUGUUUCGAGCAAUGUUCUUCGUGUGGUGGGAGGGGACGGUGUCUCUCCCUGCUGCCUACCAUUUUUUAUUCUACAUUUUAUGGAUAGAGGCCUUUUGCCACCCAGGUGGCAACAGGAAUGGGUUUUCUUAAGACACUACCUCUCUAUCAUCCUAUCCAAGUCAUUGCUGGCCUCCCUACUCCCCAGUCGCCAAACAGCGUUUCCAAAAAGUGACCCUCCUCUCUUUCCCUCUUCCUUGAUGCUGAUGAGCUGUAACAGAUUCCCGGUGAAGAAAACUGAAAUGCAGUUCCUACCAAAUUGUCUCUCCUGCCUACUAUCAAAUGCAAGAUAUUUUUGAUAAUCUAAAUCAAUAUUGGAACCAGAGCAGAACUUUAUUGCUCAAGAAGUUGGAUUUUGCUUCCAUCACAUGAGGAAACUAGCUUUUGAAACCAUCUCUGAGUGAAAGCCAAAGGAAAAAGGGAAGUUUGCUGAAGCUUGCAAAUUUAAGGUACUGUAAUGGAAUUUAUUAUGUUGAACAUUCACAGUAAAAUGUUCUAUAGGUGUUUAUCUCCA
This is a non-coding RNA of Phascolarctos cinereus (koala), 1257 nucleotides long. The record is from RefSeq and is a predicted model, not a curated record. Lineage: Eukaryota; Metazoa; Chordata; Mammalia; Diprotodontia; Phascolarctidae.